AAUAUCCUGGUGAUCAUCAUUGGAAUUUGUUGUCAUAGCUGCCGCUUGAGGUGGCUGCCGGGUUGCCGCCGAGCCGGUUUGUAGACCACCGCGGUGUCGGUUCAGCCGUUCCUCCUUCGGUUCGUGUUGCUUUGGUUAUUGCGAAAGUGGCUGGGAGCUGAGGUUUUGGUUGCCGUCAGUUCGGGUUGUGCCGGAAAGGACUCCAUGAGACGUUUGGAUUAUGGAAUUGCAUUUUGAGGUAGGGGCGCUUUCCAAAAACUAUGUUUUGUGUAUUGGAAUUAUUACAUAUGGAUACUGGUGUGAGAUAUUG
Arachis ipaensis is the source of this 310-nucleotide non-coding RNA. The record is from RefSeq and is a predicted model, not a curated record. Lineage: Eukaryota; Viridiplantae; Streptophyta; Magnoliopsida; Fabales; Fabaceae.